Oncorhynchus keta (chum salmon) is the source of this 4140-nucleotide long non-coding RNA. RefSeq lists it as uncharacterized. Lineage: Eukaryota; Metazoa; Chordata; Actinopteri; Salmoniformes; Salmonidae. The transcript is spliced from 5 exons. The record is from RefSeq and is a predicted model, not a curated record.
GAGAGGAGAGGAGAGAGAGAGAGAGGGAGUAGGAGGGAGAGAGGGAGUAGGAGAGAGAGAGGGAGUAGGAGAGAGAGAGACAGAGAGGGAGUAGGAGAGAAGGAGAGAGGGAGUAGGAGAGAAGGAGAGAGGGAGUAGGAGAGAAGGAGAGAGGGAGAAGGAGAUGGAGAGAGGGAGUAGGAGAGAAGGAGUAGGAGAGAAGGAGAGGGGAGUAGGAGAGAGGGAGAAGGAGAGAGGGAGUAAGAGAGAAGGAGUAGGAGAAAGGAGAGAGGGAGAAGGAGAGGGGGAGUAGGAGAGAGGGAGAGAGGGAGUAGGAGAGGGAGAGUAGGAGAGAGGGAGUAGUUAGUGAAGGAGACAGGGAGUAGGAGAGAAGGAAAGAGGGAGUAGGAGAGAGGGAGUAGGAGAGAAUGAGAAGGAGACAGGGAGUAAUAGAGAAUGAGAAGGAGAGAGGAAGUAGGAGAGAAUGAGAAGGACUUGGAGAGACACAAACCUACCCCCCCCUCUCUCUCUCUCUCUCCAAAACACACGUCAAUAUCAUCUGGAGGAGUCCAUUGUGAUAUUGCCUCUCAUUCAUCUCCUGGUUGUCCAUAACUAACCCCCAUAGCCUGCAGAGGUUGAAAUAAAACAUGUAGACCGCUAGUGAAUGAACGCAGCCCAUAAACUAUAAACCCUUGCCAGGCCUUUAUGGAUGAAGGGCUCAGGUGAAGCGUCCGUGUGACACCGUUUUACAAUGUGCUUGCGCACCACUUUUCUGCAACAAUACUGAACUAAUUAAAUAUGACGAUGAACAAAAACACAAGGGUUUUAGUGUUUUUUGGUUUUGGUUAUCUGGUCUUUGUCUCAUUGCUGUCUGAGGAGGGUUCCAUGUGAAACUGUGCCAUCGUCAACAUUGUUUUCCUUGAAGAUGAGAGGAGUUUGGACGUGGAAGAAACUACAGGCCAAGAAAAACGGUCUCUUUCUGUGUGUGAAGUAUUUUUUUUUUGCCAGGCUACAUUCCAAAUUCUAGAGUCAUAAAUCUUCAUCUAAAUGUUUGUCUGCUUGCUGUUGUUUUUCCAUAUGGGAUGGAAUCUGUUUUGUGUUGUUCCAGCUUCUCCUAUGACCUCGAUCCCACCACUCCCUGCCUCUGGUGCAGGGCUCUGCCAAUCACGACGAGCUUGGUCAGUAGACGGUUUUUGAUGGGCAGACGUUCUCAGAGAGAGAUAAGUGUCUGAAGCAGCCGUUGUUGCCCUCCUUUGUGCCCAGUCCAGAACCGUUGCCGUAACGAUAACUGUCCUCCUCUUUUUCCUCUUCAGUCAGACUGCUUUCGUCACCAUCCUCCUCAUCAUCACUUCUUUCAUCUCUGGUCAUCUGGAGUAGAGAGAGAGAAAGACACAGAGAGACAGAGACACACACAGAGAGACAGAGAGAGAGACAGAGAGAGAAAGAGAGAGACAGAGAGAGAGAGAAGAGAGAGAGAGAGAGAGAGAGAGAGAGAGAGAGAGAGAGAGAGAGAGAGACAGAGAGAGAGAGACACACACAGAGAGACAGAGAGAGAGUCAGAGAGACAGAGAGAGAGAGAAAGAGAGAAAGACACAGAGACAGAGACAGACACAGAGAGACAGAGACAGACACAGAGAGAGAGAGAGAGAGAGAGAGAGAGAGAGAGAGAGAGAGAGAGAGAGAGAGAGAGAGAGAGAGAGAGAGAGAGAGAGAGAGAGAGGAAGAGAGAGACAGACAGAGAGAGAGACAGAGACACACACAGAGAGACAGAGAGAGAGUCAGAGAGACAGAGAGAGAGAGAGAAAGAGAGAGAAAGACACAGAGAGACAGAGACAGACACAGAGAGACAGAGACAGAGACAGAGACAGAGACAGAGACAGAGAGAGAGAGAGAGAGAGAGAGAGAGAGAGAGAGAGAGAGAGAGAGAGAGAGAGAGAGAGAGAGAGAGAAAGCGCGAGAGAGAGAAUGUACUCAGGACAUUCAUCGAGAUAUCAUGCCACUUUCUACCUCAGAGACCAUUAUCAUCUCUAACACAGUAGUUCCCAUAGUUCUCUCUCUAAAGUGAUUAUUUGUGAUCCAAGAAAAUAAAACCAGUGUCUCAAGCCAGUACUCUGUCAAAAAAGAAAUCAGCUGUGACCAACCAUUUGGGAAUCACUGCUCCUGCAUCACAGUUCUGCGUAGCCCUAUAUCACUAAAACAUUCACCUAAAAGUAGCAUUGAAACCUGGGGCUGCAUGUAUUGAGCGUCUCAGAGCAGGAGUGCUGAUCAAGGAUGAGUUUAGCCUUUCAGAUCACAAUGAAUACGAUAGCUGAUCCUAGAUCAACACAUACUGAGACGCUACCUACAGCCCUGAGCUAUUUCAACUAACGCAGAAACCCAAUUGGCAGCCUCCGAUCAAUCAAAGACACCUGGAGUUUAGUCCAUGGCAGGUCAGGUCAGUCUUUCAGACUUACCAUAAUAGAGUCUAUUCUCUCUCCUUGAGCUGUCUGACCGCUCUGAGCCACAUUGUGUUUUCCAGAAAUAUAAUUAUGUUCGGCACAAUGCUAAAUCACCAAUAAUUAUGUCCCAAUGGCAACCCACUGUUGCCUUGUGACCUCGUGGGGGUUGAGUAACUGCCUCUGGCAUCUUAGCUGUUUUCUGCCGUUGCCGUAGCUGACAGGGAUCAAGCACCUUGCCAAGCCCAACACAAUUGCACACACACACACACACACACACACACACACACACACACACACACACACACACACACACACACACACACACACACACACACACACACACACACACACACACACACACACACACACACACACACACACACACACACACACACACACACACACACACACACACACACACAGUUCUAACUGCUCAGUUAGUAAGUCUACAUACAGAAUGAGAACAAUGAAACAAUGAAAAACAGGAGCAUUGGGUCUUAGGCUGGAUUCUAGACCACACUGACAGAGAACAGACACUGUAGUCAUCUGACACUGUAGUCAUCUGACAGAGAACAGACACUGUAGUCAUCUGACAUUGUAGUCAUCUGACAGAGAACAGACACUGUAGUCAUCUGACAGAGAACAGACACUGUAGUCAUCUGACAGAGAACAGACACUGUAGUCAUCUGACAUUGUAGUCAUCUGACAGAGAACAGACACUGUAGUCAUCUGACAGAGAACAGACACAGGUGUAGCUGUCUGACAGAGAACAGACACUGGUGUAGCUGUCUGACAGAGAACAGACACUGGUGUAGCUGUCUGACAGAGAACAGACACAGGUGUAGCUGUCUGACAGAGAACAGACACUGGUGUAGCUGUCUGACAGAGAACAGACACUGGUGUAGCUGUCUGACAGAGAACAGACACUGGUGUAGCUGUCUGACAGAGAACAGACACUGGUGUAGCUGUCUGACAGAGAACAGACACUGGUGUAGCUGUCUGACAGAGAACAGACACUGGUGUAGCUGUCUGACAGAGAACAGACACUGGUGUAGCUGUCUGACAGAGAACAGACACUGGUGUAGCUGUCUGACAGAGAACAGACACUGGUGUAGCUGUCUGACAGAGAACAGACACUGGUGUAGCUGUCUGACAGAGAACAGACACUGGUGUAGCUGUCUGACAGAGAACAGACACUGGUGUAGCUGUCUGACAGAGAACAGACACUGGUGUAGCUGUCUGACAGAGAACAGACACUGGUGUAGCUGUCUGACAGAGAACAGACACAGGUGUAGCUGUCUGACAGAGAACAGACACUGGUGUAGCUGUCUGACAGAGAACAGACACUGGUGUAGCUGUCUGACAGAGAACAGACACUGGUGUAGCUGUCUGACAGAGAACAGACACUGGUGUAGCUGUCUGACAGAGAACAGACACUGGUGUAGCUGUCUGACAGAGAACAGACACAGGUGUAGCUAUGCUUGGCUAUGCAUGAUCUAGUCAGGUCAGUCAAGCAGCUGUAGGCUGGGGCUCUAUGUGUGUUUAGAGCAAUGUUUCCUAGAACUUUUAAUUUUUUAUUUUAUUUUACCUUUAUUUUACUAGGCAAGUCAGUUAAAAAAAAGUUCUUAUUUUCAAUGACGGCCUAGGAACAGUGAGUUAAAUGCCUGUUCAGGGGCAGAACGACAGAUUUGUACCUUGUCAACUCGGGGAUUCGAACUUGCAA